Molecule: ribosomal RNA, 454 nt
Filed under: uncultured bacterium
Lineage: Bacteria
Description: bacterial SSU rRNA
Rfam family: Bacterial small subunit ribosomal RNA
Source: RNAcentral
AACGAACGCUGGCGGCAGGCUUAACACAUGCAAGUCGAACGCUCGUGGCAACACGGGAGUGGCGGACGGGUGAGUAACGCGUGGGAACGUGCCCUGAGGUUGGGAAUAACUGCGGGAAACUGCAGCUAAUACCUGAUGAGCCCCGAGAGGGGGAAAGAUUUAUCGCCUUGGGAGCGGCCCGCGUCGGAUUAGCUAGUUGGUGGGGUAACGGCCUACCAAGGCUUCGAUCCGUAGCUGGUCUGAGAGGACGAUCAGCCACACUGGGACUGAGACACGGCCCAGACUCCUACGGGAGGCAGCAGUGGGGAAUCUUGCGCAAUGGGGGCAACCCUGACGCAGCCAUGCCGCGUGAAUGAUGAAGGCCUUAGGGUUGUAAAGUUCUUUUGCCCGUGACGAUGAUGACGGUAACGGGAGAAUAAGCUCCGGCUAACUUCGUGCCAGCAGCCGCGGUAAU